GGCAGUUCUCAGGUGACGUACCCCAGAAUUGAACUCCCUUCUCUCUGGUUCCAGGUGUGUGCAUCACCCCAGAACCGCA
Non-coding RNA from Myotis brandtii (Brandt's bat), 79 nucleotides. Lineage: Eukaryota; Metazoa; Chordata; Mammalia; Chiroptera; Vespertilionidae. The record is from Rfam.